UGGGGAAUAUUGGACAAUGGGCGAAAGCCUGAUCCAGCCAUGCCGCGUGUGUGAAGAAGGUCUUCGGAUUGUAAAGCACUUUAAGUUGGGAGGAAGGGCAGUAAGCGAAUACCUUGCUGUUUUGACGUUACCGACAGAAUAAGCACCGGCUAACUCUGUGCCAGCAGCCGCGGUAAUACAGAGGGUGCAAGCGUUAAUCGGAAUUACUGGGCGUAAAGCGCGCGUAGGUGGUUCGUUAAGUUGAAUGUGAAAGCCCCGGGCUCAACCUGGGAACUGCAGCCAAAACUGGCGAGCUAGAGUAGGGCAGAGGGUGGUGGAAUUUCCUGUGUAGCGGUGAAAUGCGUAGAGAUAGGAAGGAACACCAGUGGCGAAGGCGACCACCUGGGCUCAUACUGACACUGAGGUGCGAAAGCGUGGGGAGCAAACAGG
Molecule: ribosomal RNA, 429 nt
Filed under: Pseudomonadota bacterium
Lineage: Bacteria; Pseudomonadati; Pseudomonadota
Description: Proteobacteria bacterium partial 16S ribosomal RNA
Rfam family: Bacterial small subunit ribosomal RNA
Source: RNAcentral